This is a long non-coding RNA of Lolium perenne, 1159 nucleotides long. RefSeq lists it as uncharacterized. NCBI's taxonomy places the organism in Eukaryota, Viridiplantae, Streptophyta, Magnoliopsida, Poales, Poaceae. The record is from RefSeq and is a predicted model, not a curated record.
GGCCGUUACAUCAAGAGCACGCUCUGAAGCCGUGUCUACACGUUACAACAGCUGAACAGCACACCCACGCAGACUUUUCUUUUGCGUGAUGCUUUUGCUGCGGAGACGAUUUGAAACCCAUUGGAGUUUAUUUCCAACCCACACAGUAGAACUGCCCACCUCAUUCUCCUCCCCCCUUCCCUAUGUCACGCCCUCUUCCCCAAACCAAUCGCGCCCCUCCAGAAAAUCCCCCUCCGAUUAGCCACCGCCGGCCGAUGUCCUAGUGCCGAAGGGGUACUGUCCGACGAGUCGGUGUUGGGAGGAGGGAGAAGCCGGGUCGGAGGCACGAGCGAGGCCGAUCGCGGUUGUUUUCUCGAUCUGGAUAUUCUUCAUGUCUUUUUUCCGAUCUGGAUUUUGCAUCACCUUUUGACGGAAUCAGUUUGCUGUUGAGUUUUGUUUAUUACAUGGUGUCUUCCGAUCUACUAGAUCCCAUGAUUUUCAUCCAGAUCCCAUUUUAUCAAGCGUUCAUCUUGAUGCACAACAGCUAUGCGCUUGCGUACUGGAAUUUCAUGGACGACUACCUCUGUAUCUUCUACUCUUUCUGAUUUUUUUGACUUGGAUGUGCAGACUAAUCGUGUUCGUGAUGUAGAUCUAGAUUGUAUAUUUUUCGUUGCACGGUUGUACUUGAUACUCAAGAUCCAUGCUCUCCUCCUUGUGAAGUUUCUUCCCAUCUUUUUUUCUCUAUGAUAUUCUGUUGCACGGAUGUUCUUGAGCAGGAAAAAAACACAGCCCAUGCCUGCUCGGGGCAGCAGGCCACGUCGGCCGCAUGGAGCGCAGAUGAAAUACCUAGUACCUACACGCGGCAGAACACAAAUUUUUGCCGAGGGGAGCUACCAGGCAUGGGGGAGAUCGAAAAGGCGCUCGGGUCCAACACCACCGGUCGCGGCGUUGAGCGGCAGCAGGCGGGCGUUGGUGUGGCUCAGGUCUAGCACCAAAGGAGAUGCGGGAAGCAGGACCAGUUUAGACUUUAAAAAAUCUAGUUUGUUCAUGACCUUGUACUAGCCAGUUAAAUUCAUUUGUCAAUGAUACUGAAGUGCUACACAAUACUAAUUCUUCUCCUAUUUUUUCGGAACCAUAAAUUCGUAGUUUCGUGGUUUAUCAAUUUUUAUUUUUUGGACAA